CGCCACUGCACUCCAGCCUGGGCGACAGAGCGAGACUCCGUCUCAAAAAAAAAAAAAAAGUGGGUCUGAAGCACUUAGCUGUCAAGAUAACCAACCCACAGGUUUCUAUGCAAGGGUUAUCAUACAGAUUUCAUUAAUUUCCAAUUGUGUAUCACACCAGUCUGAUUCGCAAACAUAACAGCAGCCAAACCUCAGUAUACUCUAUUCAGACAGCCUUACCUUUUGCAUGCACAUGUAAGUACCUUUAUUUACAUAACAAAUUAUGGGAUGAUUGCUUAUAUUAUGUAAACUCUCCAUUAUAUAAAACAUUCUCUGGAAGUUUCUUUUAAAAGUAAGCUCAUCCCAGGUAUUUAAAUUACUAACUUUAAAAAAUUGGUUGACAUAGGCUUUUUCAGAAACUCAACUAAUCCCCAGCCAGGGCCACGAGGAUAAGAAACAGACCCAGCCCUGAUGGAGUGUGUCUCAUCACAGGCAACAGACAAGUGGGCAGAUGCAACGUGACAAAUGGCACUUCACAGCUCACAAAAGGGCUUCUGGAGGAGACUCGAGUCUCCUAGAAAGAUGGACCGUGUAGAGGGAGGGACAGGAACAGUGAACACAGCAACCUGGCAAAGGCCAGGAGUCAGGAGGGAAGCUGACAUCGGAAUGAGGCCUCCACGCUGCACCAAGAAACUUGGAUUUGGAGGUAAAGACAACAGCAGGAAGCCUGCGAAGGACGUCCUAGGCAGAGGCACCAUCACUGCACAAGUGACGAACAUGCUGGAGGGGACAACAUGAGAGGAAGACCGCUGUU
RNAcentral lists this long non-coding RNA (793 nucleotides) under Homo sapiens (human). RNAcentral's name for it is "non-protein coding lnc-SPACA7-26:1". Lineage: Eukaryota; Metazoa; Chordata; Mammalia; Primates; Hominidae. The record is from RNAcentral.